UACGGCUACCUUGUUACGACUUCACCCCAGUCGCUGACCUUACCGUGGUCGGCUGCCCCCCUUGCGGGUUAGCACACCGGCUUAAGGUAAAGCCAACUCCCAUGGUGUGACGGGCGGUGUGUACAAGGCCCGGGAACGUAUUCACCGCGGCGUGCUGAUCCGCGAUUACUAGCGAUUCCGACUUCAUGCUCUCGAGUUGCAGAGAACAAUCCGAACUGAAACAGUUUUUGGGGAUUAGCUCCGGGUCGCCCCUUCGCGUCCCAUUGUCACCGCCAUUGUAGCACGUGUGUAGCCCAGCCCAUAAGGGCCAUGAGGACUUGACGUCAUCCCCACCUUCCUCCGGCUUGUCACCGGCAGUUUCUUCAGAGUGCCCGGCCGAACCGAUGGCAACUGAAAACGAGGGUUGCGCUCGUUGCGGGACUUAACCCAACACCUCACGACACGAGCUGACGACAGCCAUGCAGCACCUGUGCGGGGUCCAGCCGAACUGAAGGAAGCCGUCUCCGGCAACCAAAACCCCCAUGUCAAGGGCUGGUAAGGUUCUGCGCGUUGCGUCGAAUUAAACCACAUGCUCCACCGCUUGUGCGGGCCCCCGUCAAUUCCUUUGAGUUUUAACCUUGCGGCCGUACUCCCCAGGCGGAGUGCUUAA
RNAcentral lists this ribosomal RNA (649 nucleotides) under uncultured bacterium. RNAcentral's name for it is "partial 16S ribosomal RNA". The record is from RNAcentral.